Molecule: ribosomal RNA, 253 nt
Filed under: uncultured bacterium
Lineage: Bacteria
Description: partial 16S ribosomal RNA
Rfam family: Bacterial small subunit ribosomal RNA
Source: RNAcentral
UACGAAGGGGGCUAGCGUUGCUCGUAAUCACUGGGCGUAAAGCGCACGUAGGCGGACUCUUAAGUCGGGGGUGAAAUCCUGGAGCUCAACUCCAGAACUGCCUUCGAUACUGGGAGUCUUGAGUUCGGGAGAGGUGAGUGGAACUGCGAGUGUAGAGGUGAAAUUCGUAGAUAUUCGCAAGAACACCAGUGGCGAAGGCGGCUCACUGGCCCGAUACUGACGCUGAGGUGCGAAAGCGUGGGGAGCAAACAGG